UUAAAUUGAAGAGUUUGAUCAUGGCUCAGAUUGAACGCUGGCGGCAGGCCUAACACAUGCAAGUCGAACGGUAACAGGAAGCAGCUUGCUGCUUCGCUGACGAGUGGCGGACGGGUGAGUAAUGUCUGGGAAACUGCCUGAUGGAGGGGGAUAACUACUGGAAACGGUAGCUAAUACCGCAUAAUGUCGCAAGACCAAAGAGGGGGGACCUUCGGGCCUCUUGCCAUCGGAUGUGCCCAGAUGGGAUUAGCUUGUUGGUGGGGUAACGGCUCACCAAGGCGA
RNAcentral lists this ribosomal RNA (282 nucleotides) under Escherichia coli. Its description in RNAcentral is "partial 16S ribosomal RNA". It matches the Rfam family "Bacterial small subunit ribosomal RNA", at positions 1 to 276 of the family's 1533-position model. Lineage: Bacteria; Pseudomonadati; Pseudomonadota; Gammaproteobacteria; Enterobacterales; Enterobacteriaceae. The record is from RNAcentral.